ACUCCUACGGGAGGCAGCAGUGAGGAAUAUUGGUCAAUGGAGGGAACUCUGAACCAGCCAUCCCGCGUGUAGGAAGACGGCCUUAUGGGUUGUAAACUACUUUAUACAGGAGAAACGUACCCUCGUGAGGGUGCCUGACGGUACUGUAGGAAUAAGCACCGGCUAACUCCGUGCCAGCAGCCGCGGUAAUACGGAGGGUGCGAGCGUUAUCCGGAUUUAUUGGGUUUAAAGGUCCGUAGGCGGAUUAAUAAGUCAGUGGUGAAAUCCCAUCGCUUAACGAUGGAACUGCCAUUGAUACUGUUAGUCUUGAAUGAGGGUGCAGUGGUUGGAAU
Molecule: ribosomal RNA, 332 nt
Filed under: uncultured bacterium
Lineage: Bacteria
Description: bacterial SSU rRNA
Rfam family: Bacterial small subunit ribosomal RNA
Source: RNAcentral